GGACGAACGCUGGCGGCGUGCUUAACCCAUGCAAGUCGAACGGAAAGGCCCUGCUUUUGUGGGGUGCUCGAGUGGCGAACGGGUGAGUAACACGUGAGUAACCUGCCCUUGACUUUGGGAUAACUUCAGGAAACUGGGGCUAAUACCGGAUAGGAGCUCCUGCUGCAUGGUGGGGGUUGGAAAGUUUCGGCGGUUGGGGAUGGACUCGCGGCUUAUCAGCUUGUUGGUGGGGUAGUGACUUACCAAGGCUUUGACGGGUAGCCGGCCUGAGAGGGUGACCGGCCACAUUGGGACUGAGAUACGGCCCAGACUCCUACGGGAGGCAGCAGUGGGGAAUAUUGCACAAUGGGCGGAAGCCUGAUGCAGCAACGCCGCGUGCGGGAUGACGGCCUUCGGGUUGUAAACCGCUUUCGCCUGUGACGAAGCGUGAGUGACGGUAAUGGGUAAAGAAGCACCGGCUAACUACGUG
Molecule: ribosomal RNA, 469 nt
Filed under: uncultured bacterium
Lineage: Bacteria
Description: partial 16S ribosomal RNA
Rfam family: Bacterial small subunit ribosomal RNA
Source: RNAcentral